Erpetoichthys calabaricus (reedfish) is the source of this 1237-nucleotide long non-coding RNA. RefSeq lists it as uncharacterized. Lineage: Eukaryota; Metazoa; Chordata; Cladistia; Polypteriformes; Polypteridae. The transcript is spliced from 4 exons. The record is from RefSeq and is a predicted model, not a curated record.
UAGGCACGCAGAUCGGGUAGCGACAGCGCUCUCUGCUCAAUUAAAAUUCAUUUCACGACACUGCCCGAUUUGUUCUGCGCAUGUCGAAUGUUUUACGACACACGAGAAAUAAAGUUACCACGGGAUUUUAAUUUCUCGGUCUGCAUUAACAAAUAGAACUUCUGCCAUUCGAGUGAGAAGGAGAAAGAACAACGCUGUAAAGAAUAGGAGCAUAUUGAAUUUUUUUCCUGGCAGAAGAAUAUUUUUCACUUCUUGAAAAAAUGAAGACUUUUCAAUUUUACAACGACUUGAAAGAAUAUCUUUUCGGGUUAGAAUUUAGCAACAAUUUAACGGUCAGAGAGCUAAGUGAAAUACGACGUGUUCGUGAAUUUUAUGAUUAAAGUCCAUCAUCCAUGCCCUGGCUGCUCUACAGGGUGUAUCAGGACAGGAGGCAGAAGACUUAUUUGUUGGUGGCCCAGAAUACAGUUUCAGUGAAGUGGAAGAAUUUAACCGAAAGAUAGGGCAGCAAUUAAAGAAGGAGGGAAUGCUGUGAUAUCUGUUGGAAUAGAAGAUGGUGCUACUGCCCAGUGCUUCCAGAAUCCUUCAUUUGAGUCUUGGGUCUGAAUCUACGGCGUCAUUGCCAAGUAUUCUGGGUGAUGCCCUUUGCCAUGCACCUUGGUCAAGUCUUGUGCAACUGACUGUGGUGCUGAAGAGAGAAGAUUUCUGAAGACCCUCUUGAAGUGGAGCUGCAAUUGGAUUAACACCACAACAGUAUGCUUACUGAGAAUGUCCACAGGGGCCUGGGGAGGCUGUGACCUUGUGACCCUGAGACGUUGUUUUGUCAAUCAUCCUGACCAACUGGACCUUUAUGUGUUCUUCAACAGGGCCAUCUGACCAGCAGAUAUAUUUAAGGAGAAGGACCUUUCAAUUUUCCUCUUGUGUACUUUUUAAUUGUAUAUAUAUUUUUUCGUUUUCAUAAAGUUAUAUAUAUUUGUUAAGCAGUUUAGCAGUUUGGGCUUUAUUAGUAUUAAAAUAUGUUAGAGAAGUUAUUUGUGGAAUAAUUUUAAUGAUCAAAAUAGCAAAAAAUGUAACUUUAAAUUUUCUGUGCUCUGGGUAAAAUAUGUUAAAGCUAUGUGGUGAUUUUUUACAAUUUUUUUUUUUGUACAUUUGAUAUGUUUUUUUUAGGUGCAUUGUUCUCACAUUGUUCACUUUUGUUGUUCUCAUAACAUUUAUUCAAUAAAAUUUGCAUGAAAAGUGU